Molecule: long non-coding RNA, 728 nt
Organism: Melospiza melodia melodia
Lineage: Eukaryota; Metazoa; Chordata; Aves; Passeriformes; Passerellidae
Exons: 3
Source: RefSeq, a predicted model, not a curated record
GGGUGCCGCAGCUCCCGGCUCCUCAUUGGAAUUCCGCGGGCGCGCCGCGGCAGCUGGCGGGAUGGCAGCGGAGUGACAGCGGUGACAGGGAUUGUGCUGGAGCUGGGACCUCUCCUGAUGCCCUCUGGAUCCCCUCAAGAGGUUUCCCUUGGGAGGGAUCUGCUGCCUCCUCCUCCUCUUCCUCCCUCUCCCAUCCACGGCUCUGCAGGAUCCUGUCCCGGCCCCUGCGUGACCUGCCGUGGCACCGUGCCCGUGCAAAGCUGCAAACCCGACCCUCAGCUGCCAGAACGGCGUCAGAAAAAUCAGGAAAUCAGUCACCAAAAACCCCGAGGAGGUGGAAACAAAGCCUGAGCAGCCUCUGCAUGGGCAAGGGAGGGGGCCGAGCCCUCCCUGGGCUGCCACAGGGUUGAUUCACGUCUCAGCACCGUCACAUUGAUUCUGCUGGAGAAUCCUUUCUUCCCUAAAUUCCUGCUUGCCCAGGAAGGCUGGGGAAAGUCUGAGCUGCCGCGACAACACCUGGGAACAAGAAUUAUUAUGUGGCGUGACAAGGUUUGAUGAAUUCCUGUGUGCCUGGGGGAAGGGACUAAGUAGGUGAAUGAAGUGCGAAUAUUCUCGGUGACAAUCGAUAGCCUCGAUUGAGCCGUCUGGCAGAUGUGACAUUUGGGUUUCACUGCCCGGACAGGCUCACGGGACUGACGGCCUGGGAGCAGCAGGGAGUGAGGGCUGCA